This 23-nucleotide non-coding RNA is filed under the name Mus musculus (house mouse). The record is from RNAcentral. Lineage: Eukaryota; Metazoa; Chordata; Mammalia; Rodentia; Muridae.
GGAGAGAGACAUCAUUUAUCCGG